Molecule: ribosomal RNA, 429 nt
Filed under: Bacteroidota bacterium
Lineage: Bacteria; Pseudomonadati; Bacteroidota
Description: Bacteroidetes bacterium partial 16S ribosomal RNA
Rfam family: Bacterial small subunit ribosomal RNA
Source: RNAcentral
UAGGGAAUCUUCCGCAAUGGACGCAAGUCUGACGGAGCAACGCCGCGUGAGUGAAGAAGGAUUUCGGUUCGUAAAACUCUGUUGUUAGAGAAGAACAGCGCAUAGAGUAACUGUUAUGCGUGUGACGGUAUCUAACCAGAAAGCCACUGCUAACUACGUGCCAGCAGCCGCGGUAAUACGUAGGUGGCAAGCGUUGUCCGGAUUUAUUUGGCGUAAAGCGAGCGCAGGCGGUCAAUUAAGUCUGAUGUGAAAGCCCACGGCUCAACCGGGGAGGGUCAUUGGAAACUGGUUGACUAGAGUGCAGAAGAGGAGAGUGUAAUUCCAUGUGUAGCAGUGAAAUGAGUAGAUAUAUGGAGGAACACCAGUGGAGAAGGAGACUCUCUGGUCUAUAACUGACGCUGAGGCUAGAAAGCGUGGGUAGGAAACAGG